GAUGAACGCUGGCGGCGUGCCUAAUACAUGCAAGUCGAGCGAACGGACGAGAAGCUUGCUUCUCUGAUGUUAGCGGCGGACGGGUGAGUAACACGUGGAUAACCUACCUAUAAGACUGGGAUAACUUCGGGAAACCGGAGCUAAUACCGGAUAAUAUUUUGAACCGCAUGGUUCAAAAGUAAAAGACGUUCUUGCUGUCACUUAUAGAUGGAUCCGCGCUGCAUUAGCUAGUUGGUAAGGUAACGGCUUACCAAGGCAACGAUGCAUAGCCGACCUGAGAGGGUGAUCGGCCACACUGGAACUGAGACACGGUCCAGACUCCUACGGGAGGCAGCAGUAGGGAAUCUUCCGCAAUGGGCGAAAGCCUGACGGAGCAACGCCGCGUGAGUGAUGAAGGUCUUCGGAUCGUAAAACUCUGUUAUUAGGGAAGAACAGAUGUGUAAGUAACUGUGCACAUCUUGACGGUACCUAAUCAGAAAGCCACGGCUAACUACGUG
Molecule: ribosomal RNA, 497 nt
Filed under: uncultured bacterium
Lineage: Bacteria
Description: partial 16S ribosomal RNA
Rfam family: Bacterial small subunit ribosomal RNA
Source: RNAcentral